Molecule: ribosomal RNA, 2907 nt
Filed under: Escherichia coli
Lineage: Bacteria; Pseudomonadati; Pseudomonadota; Gammaproteobacteria; Enterobacterales; Enterobacteriaceae
Description: 23S ribosomal RNA
Rfam family: Bacterial large subunit ribosomal RNA
Source: RNAcentral
GGUUAAGCGACUAAGCGUACACGGUGGAUGCCCUGGCAGUCAGAGGCGAUGAAGGACGUGCUAAUCUGCGAUAAGCGUCGGUAAGGUGAUAUGAACCGUUAUAACCGGCGAUUUCCGAAUGGGGAAACCCAGUGUGUUUCGACACACUAUCAUUAACUGAAUCCAUAGGUUAAUGAGGCGAACCGGGGGAACUGAAACAUCUAAGUACCCCGAGGAAAAGAAAUCAACCGAGAUUCCCCCAGUAGCGGCGAGCGAACGGGGAGCAGCCCAGAGCCUGAAUCAGUGUGUGUGUUAGUGGAAGCGUCUGGAAAGGCGCGCGAUACAGGGUGACAGCCCCGUACACAAAAAUGCACAUGCUGUGAGCUCGAUGAGUAGGGCGGGACACGUGGUAUCCUGUCUGAAUAUGGGGGGACCAUCCUCCAAGGCUAAAUACUCCUGACUGACCGAUAGUGAACCAGUACCGUGAGGGAAAGGCGAAAAGAACCCCGGCGAGGGGAGUGAAAAAGAACCUGAAACCGUGUACGUACAAGCAGUGGGAGCACAGAGCAAUCUGUGUGACUGCGUACCUUUUGUAUAAUGGGUCAGCGACUUAUAUUCUGUAGCAAGGUUAACCGAAUAGGGGAGCCGAAGGGAAACCGAGUCUUAACUGGGCGUUAAGUUGCAGGGUAUAGACCCGAAACCCGGUGAUCUAGCCAUGGGCAGGUUGAAGGUUGGGUAACACUAACUGGAGGACCGAACCGACUAAUGUUGAAAAAUUAGCGGAUGACUUGUGGCUGGGGGUGAAAGGCCAAUCAAACCGGGAGAUAGCUGGUUCUCCCCGAAAGCUAUUUAGGUAGCGCCUCGUGAAUUCAUCUCCGGGGGUAGAGCACUGUUUCGGCAAGGGGGUCAUCCCGACUUACCAACCCGAUGCAAACUGCGAAUACCGGAGAAUGUUAUCACGGGAGACACACGGCGGGUGCUAACGUCCGUCGUGAAGAGGGAAACAACCCAGACCGCCAGCUAAGGUCCCAAAGUCAUGGUUAAGUGGGAAACGAUGUGGGAAGGCCCAGACAGCCAGGAUGUUGGCUUAGAAGCAGCCAUCAUUUAAAGAAAGCGUAAUAGCUCACUGGUCGAGUCGGCCUGCGCGGAAGAUGUAACGGGGCUAAACCAUGCACCGAAGCUGCGGCAGCGACGCUUAUGCGUUGUUGGGUAGGGGAGCGUUCUGUAAGCCUGUGAAGGUGUACUGUGAGGUACGCUGGAGGUAUCAGAAGUGCGAAUGCUGACAUAAGUAACGAUAAAGCGGGUGAAAAGCCCGCUCGCCGGAAGACCAAGGGUUCCUGUCCAACGUUAAUCGGGGCAGGGUGAGUCGACCCCUAAGGCGAGGCCGAAAGGCGUAGUCGAUGGGAAACAGGUUAAUAUUCCUGUACUUGGUGUUACUGCGAAGGGGGGACGGAGAAGGCUAUGUUGGCCGGGCGACGGUUGUCCCGGUUUAAGCGUGUAGGCUGGUUUUCCAGGCAAAUCCGGAAAAUCAAGGCUGAGGCGUGAUGACGAGGCACUACGGUGCUGAAGCAACAAAUGCCCUGCUUCCAGGAAAAGCCUCUAAGCAUCAGGUAACAUCAAAUCGUACCCCAAACCGACACAGGUGGUCAGGUAGAGAAUACCAAGGCGCUUGAGAGAACUCGGGUGAAGGAACUAGGCAAAAUGGUGCCGUAACUUCGGGAGAAGGCACGCUGAUAUGUAGGUGAAGUCCCUCGCGGAUGGAGCUGAAAUCAGUCGAAGAUACCAGCUGGCUGCAACUGUUUAUUAAAAACACAGCACUGUGCAAACACGAAAGUGGACGUAUACGGUGUGACGCCUGCCCGGUGCCGGAAGGUUAAUUGAUGGGGUUAGCGCAAGCGAAGCUCUUGAUCGAAGCCCCGGUAAACGGCGGCCGUAACUAUAACGGUCCUAAGGUAGCGAAAUUCCUUGUCGGGUAAGUUCCGACCUGCACGAAUGGCGUAAUGAUGGCCAGGCUGUCUCCACCCGAGACUCAGUGAAAUUGAACUCGCUGUGAAGAUGCAGUGUACCCGCGGCAAGACGGAAAGACCCCGUGAACCUUUACUAUAGCUUGACACUGAACAUUGAGCCUUGAUGUGUAGGAUAGGUGGGAGGCUUUGAAGUGUGGACGCCAGUCUGCAUGGAGCCGACCUUGAAAUACCACCCUUUAAUGUUUGAUGUUCUAACGUUGACCCGUAAUCCGGGUUGCGGACAGUGUCUGGUGGGUAGUUUGACUGGGGCGGUCUCCUCCUAAAGAGUAACGGAGGAGCACGAAGGUUGGCUAAUCCUGGUCGGACAUCAGGAGGUUAGUGCAAUGGCAUAAGCCAGCUUGACUGCGAGCGUGACGGCGCGAGCAGGUGCGAAAGCAGGUCAUAGUGAUCCGGUGGUUCUGAAUGGAAGGGCCAUCGCUCAACGGAUAAAAGGUACUCCGGGGAUAACAGGCUGAUACCGCCCAAGAGUUCAUAUCGACGGCGGUGUUUGGCACCUCGAUGUCGGCUCAUCACAUCCUGGGGCUGAAGUAGGUCCCAAGGGUAUGGCUGUUCGCCAUUUAAAGUGGUACGCGAGCUGGGUUUAGAACGUCGUGAGACAGUUCGGUCCCUAUCUCGCCGUGGGCGCUGGAGAACUGAGGGGGGCUGCUCCUAGUACGAGAGGACCGGAGUGGACGCAUCACUGGUGUUCGGGUUGUCAUGCCAAUGGCACUGCCCGGUAGCUAAAUGCGGAAGAGAUAAGUGCUGAAAGCAUCUAAGCACGAAACUUGCCCCGAGAUGAGUUCUCCCUGACCCUUUAAGGGUCCUGAAGGAACGUUGAAGACGACGACGUUGAUAGGCCGGGUGUGUAAGCGCAGCGAUGCGUUGAGCUAACCGGUACUAAUGAACCGUGAGGCUUAACCUU